This 378-nucleotide ribosomal RNA is filed under the name uncultured bacterium. Its description in RNAcentral is "bacterial SSU rRNA". It matches the Rfam family "Bacterial small subunit ribosomal RNA", at positions 362 to 757 of the family's 1533-position model. The record is from RNAcentral.
UAUUGGACAAUGGGCGAAAGCCUGAUCCAGCAAUGCCGCGUGAGUGAUGAAGGCCUUAGGGUUGUAAAGCUCUUUUACCCGGGAUGAUAAUGACAGUACCGGGAGAAUAAGCUCCGGCUAACUCCGUGCCAGCAGCCGCGGUAAUACGGAGGGAGCUAGCGUUGUUCGGAAUUACUGGGCGUAAAGCGCACGUAGGCGGCUUUGUAAGUUAGAGGUGAAAGCCUGGAGCUCAACUCCAGAAUUGCCUUUGAUACUGCAUCGCUUGAAUCCGGGAGAGGUGAGUGGAAUUCCGAGUGUAGAGGUGAAAUUCGUAGAUAUUCGGAAGAACACCAGUGGCGAAGGCGGCUCACUGGACUGGUAUUGACGCUGAGGUGCGAA